GGGGAUGUUUUGGUUUUGACAGCAUCGAUUCUGGAUAGUAAGCACGUCGGGCGUAGGGGGCUGGCCCGUUAAUCCCAGUCUUCAAGCCAUAACUGGCAACUACAAUUAUUCAUACGCUUGCUAGUCUCCAAGAGACUGAGCAUUUAUCGGUGAGGCCAAGGCUGCUUCACUGACGUAUAUCCCUCCAGCUUUAGGCCGGUUCAGUCUGGAUUAAGGGGUAUCAUAUAACCCGGAUGCGGGGGAAGGACGCCUCUAUGUCCCCUCAAGUUUUAGAGGAUAAGUUGCACUUGGCCUGUCUUCCGGCACUGUGCAGUCGAAAACUAAAGAAAGAAUAAACGUGUAGAAAGCUGUUUGGAACAAUGUUUGGACGAGGGUUCGAGUCCCUCCAUCUCCACUU
This 397-nucleotide transfer-messenger RNA is filed under the name Rikenellaceae bacterium. It matches the Rfam family "transfer-messenger RNA". Rfam says of the family: Bacterial tmRNA, also known as 10Sa RNA or SsrA, is named for its dual tRNA and mRNA-like properties. Its role is to liberate the mRNA from a stalled ribosome. Lineage: Bacteria; Pseudomonadati; Bacteroidota; Bacteroidia; Bacteroidales; Rikenellaceae. The record is from RNAcentral.